AAUCCAUAGGUUAAUGAGGCGAACCGGGGGAACUGAAACAUCUAAGUACCCCGAGGAAAAGAAAUCAACCGAGAUUCCCCCAGUAGCGGCGAGCGAACGGGGAGGAGCCCAGAGCCUGAAUCAGCAUGUGUGUUAGUGGAAGCGUCUGGAAAGGCGCGCGAUACAGGGUGACAGCCCCGUACACAAAAGCGCAUGUGCUGUGAGCUCGAUGAGUAGGGCGGGACACGUGGUAUCCUGUCUGAAUAUGGGGGGACCAUCCUCCAAGGCUAAAUACUCCUGACUGACCGAUAGUGAACCAGUACCGUGAGGGAAAGGCGAAAAGAACCCCGGCGAGGGGAGUGAAAAAGAACCUGAAACCGUGUACGUACAAGCAGUGGGAGCACAGGUUUACCUGUGUGACUGCGUACCUUUUGUAUAAUGGGUCAGCGACUUAUAUUCUGUAGCAAGGUUAACCGUAUAGGGGAGCCGUAGGGAAACCGAGUCUUAACCGGGCGUUAAGUUGCAGGGUAUAGACCCGAAACCCGGUGAUCUAGCCAUGGGCAGGUUGAAGGUUGGGUAACACUAACUGGAGGACCGAACCGACUAAUGUUGAAAAAUUAGCGGAUGACCUGUGGCUGGGGGUGAAAGGCCAAUCAAACCGGGAGAUAGCUGGUUCUCCCCGAAAGCUAUUUAGGUAGCGCCUCGUGAAUUCAUCUCCGGGGGUAGAGCACUGUUUCGGCUAGGGGGCCAUCCCGGCUUACCAACCCGAUGCAAACUGCGAAUACCGGAGAAUGUUAUCACGGGAGACACACGGCGGGUGCUAACGUCCGUCGUGAAGAGGGAAACAACCCAGACCGCCAGCUAAGGUCCCAAAGUCAUGGUUAAGUGGGAAACGAUGUGGGAAGGCCCAGACAGCCAGGAUGUUGGCUUAGAAGCAGCCAUCAUUUAAAGAAAGCGUAAUAGCUCACUGGUCGAGUCGGCCUGCGCGGAAGAUGUAACGGGGCUAAACCAUGCACCGAAGCUGCGGCAGCGACGCUGAUGCGUUGUUGGGUAGGGGAGCGUUCUGUAAGCCUGUGAAGGUGGCCUGUGAGGGUUGCUGGAGGUAUCAGAAGUGCGAAUGCUGACAUAAGUAACGAUAAAGCGGGUGAAAAGCCCGCUCGCC
RNAcentral lists this ribosomal RNA (1141 nucleotides) under Salmonella enterica. RNAcentral's name for it is "partial 23S ribosomal RNA". It matches the Rfam family "Bacterial large subunit ribosomal RNA", at positions 161 to 1338 of the family's 2925-position model. Lineage: Bacteria; Pseudomonadati; Pseudomonadota; Gammaproteobacteria; Enterobacterales; Enterobacteriaceae. The record is from RNAcentral. RNAcentral also lists the same sequence under 3 other names.